UUAACCACAUCCACGCACACUUUUUAUCUCGUUUUUAUCUUUGCGAUAUGAGUGCGACGGAACGAUAAACAGCUUGUACAGUGACCUUCAUGUUUUCGAUAGAAUGUUUUGUUUGACUCAUCGACCACAUCGCGAGCCGGUGUGAAUUUAUUCUGGCUAGUAGCAAACUAUAGGACUUCUUUGAACAUAAUAUUCUUACCUUUUAUUCCAUAGUUUUGUGUGUGAAAACCUAUAAAUACACUGUUGAUAUAAAUAAGUAAGAAUAACUUCUGUGCCCGGCCUGGACUGAAUAUAAUAUUGCACAACCUAAACAGAGUUGUUAAAGG
This is a long non-coding RNA of Maniola jurtina (meadow brown), 326 nucleotides long. RefSeq lists it as uncharacterized. Lineage: Eukaryota; Metazoa; Arthropoda; Insecta; Lepidoptera; Nymphalidae. The transcript is spliced from 2 exons. The record is from RefSeq and is a predicted model, not a curated record.